Pseudomyrmex gracilis is the source of this 592-nucleotide long non-coding RNA. RefSeq lists it as uncharacterized. Lineage: Eukaryota; Metazoa; Arthropoda; Insecta; Hymenoptera; Formicidae. The record is from RefSeq and is a predicted model, not a curated record. The transcript is spliced from 3 exons.
UAUAUAGAAUAUCAAUUCACUGCAAUAAUGAAGAUAAUAAUGAUGCAAAUGAUUUUGAUAGUUACAUUAAUGAUGAUGGUGCAGAUGAUAAUAAUAGUUACAUUAAUGAUAACAGUACAGUAAAUCACAAUUUUUUAAAUAAUAUUGAACGUUGUGAGAAUAAUAAUAUAUCCAGAACUUCCUCGAGAUGCUCGUACUUUAUUAGGCACUUUGAGAAAAAUACAUACAGAUGUUGAACCAGGACACUAUUAUCAUUUUGGGAUAAAUCAUUGCGUAGAAAAACUUAUAGAAGCUUCGCAAUAUUCCUUUAAAAAUUUACAGAUAAUUGAAAUUAUUGUUAAUAUUGAUGGCUUGCCUUUAUCUAAAAGUUCGGGGAGUCAAGUCUACCCUAUUUUAUGCAGUUUGGUUAACAAUUACAACAAUGUUGGCAUUAUUGGAAUUUAUCAUGGGUAUGAAAAACCUGCAGACGCUAAUAUAUUUUUGCAAUCUUUCGUAAAAGAAGCUCAAAAUUUGGUUACCCAUGGUGUAACAGUUAAUGGAAUAAUAUAUCCAUUUAAAAUUAAAGCAUUCAUUUGUGAUGUUCCAGCUCAGU